This 420-nucleotide ribosomal RNA is filed under the name bacterium. RNAcentral's name for it is "partial 16S ribosomal RNA". It matches the Rfam family "Bacterial small subunit ribosomal RNA", at positions 355 to 776 of the family's 1533-position model. The record is from RNAcentral.
CGGGGGAUAUUGCACAAUGGGCGAAAGCCUGAUGCAGCGACGCCGCGUGGGGGAUGAAGGCUUUCGGGUUGUAAACCUCUUUCGCUAUCGAACAAGGCCCGCUUAGGGUGGGUUGAGGGUAGGUGGAGAAGAAGCGCCGGCUAACUACGUGCCAGCAGCCGCGGUAAUACGUAGGGCGCGAGCGUUGUCCGGAAUUAUUGGGCGUAAAGGGCUUGUAGGCGGCUUGUUGCGCCUGCUGUGAAAACGCGGGGCUUAACUUCGCGCGUGCAGUGGGUACGGGCAGGCUUGAGUGUGGUAGGGGUGACUGGAAUUCCAGGUGUAGCGGUGGAAUGCGCAGAUAUCUGGAGGAACACCGAUGGCGAAGGCAGGUCACUGGGCCAUUACUGACGCUGAGGAGCGAAAGCAUGGGUAGCGAACAGG